CCUACGGGUGGCAGCAGUGGGGAAUAUUGCACAAUGGGGGAAACCCUGAUGCAGCAACGCCGCGUGAAGGAAGACGGUUUUCGGAUUGUAAACUUCUGUUCUUAGUGAAGAAUAGUAAAGGUAGCUAAUGAGCAAGCCACGGCCAACUACGUUGCCACCACCGCGGUAAUACGGAGGAGGGAAGCGUUGUCCUGAAUUAAGGGGGGGAAAGGGAGCGCAGGCGGGACGCCAAGUCAGCUGGGAAAACGACGGGCUUAACUUGUAGACUGCAGUUGAAAAUGGUUUUCUUGAGGGAAGUAGAGGUUGGCGGAAUUCCGGGUGUAGCGGUGAAAUGCGUAGAUAUUCGGAGGAACACCGGUGGCGAAGGCGGCCAACUGGGCUUUAACUGACGCUGAGGCUCGAAAGUGUGGGGAGCAAACAGGAUUAGAUACCCUUGUAGUC
This 441-nucleotide ribosomal RNA is filed under the name uncultured bacterium. RNAcentral describes it as "partial 16S ribosomal RNA". It matches the Rfam family "Bacterial small subunit ribosomal RNA", at positions 338 to 795 of the family's 1533-position model. The record is from RNAcentral.